This 200-nucleotide unclassified non-coding RNA is filed under the name Bombus terrestris (buff-tailed bumblebee). RNAcentral's name for it is "misc RNA ENSBTSG00005036419.1". The record is from RNAcentral. Lineage: Eukaryota; Metazoa; Arthropoda; Insecta; Hymenoptera; Apidae.
AUUUAUUUCUUGUAUUCUGAAUUUACACUGACUGCGAUUUUGUUCUGAGCUCCAGCCGUGACUUUCCAAGACUGAAGCUCUUACAAUUUGACUUUCGGACAUUCAGUGGAAGGACCGUUAGGAUACAGAUGACUCAUUAGGCACUUCGGCGAUAUACAUUGUCGCCAAGGCCGCCACAUCUCUAUCUCCAUCAUCGGUCC